CUUUACACAUGCAAGUCGAACGGUAACAGGGAGCUUGCUCCGCUGACGAGUGGCGAACGGGUGAGUAAUAUAUCGGAACGUACCCAAGAGUGGGGGAUAACGUAGCGAAAGUUACGCUAAUACCGCAUACGAUCUAUGGAUGAAAGCAGGGGACCUUCGGGCCUUGUGCUCCUGGAGCGGCCGAUAUCUGAUUAGCUAGUUGGUGAGGUAAAGGCUCACCAAGGCGACGAUCAGUAGCUGGUCUGAGAGGACGACCAGCCACACUGGAACUGAGACACGGUCCAGACUCCUACGGGAGGCAGCAGUGGGGAAUUUUGGACAAUGGGCGCAAGCCUGAUCCAGCAAUGCCGCGUGAGUGAAGAAGGCCUUCGGGUUGUAAAGCUCUUUUGUCAGGGAAGAAACGGCUGUGGCUAAUAUCCACGGCUAAUGACGGUACCUGAAGAAUAAGCACCGGCUAACUACGUGCCAGCAGCCGCGGUAAUACGUAGGGUGCAAGCGUUAAUCGGAAUUACUGGGCGUAAAGCGUGCGCAGGCGGUUUUGUAAGUCUGUCGUGAAAUCCCCGGGCUCAACCUGGGAAUUGCGAUGGAGACUGCAAGGCUAGAAUCUGGCAGAGGGGGGUAGAAUUCCACGU
This 632-nucleotide ribosomal RNA is filed under the name Massilia timonae. RNAcentral describes it as "bacterial SSU rRNA". It matches the Rfam family "Bacterial small subunit ribosomal RNA", at positions 47 to 674 of the family's 1533-position model. Lineage: Bacteria; Pseudomonadati; Pseudomonadota; Betaproteobacteria; Burkholderiales; Oxalobacteraceae. The record is from RNAcentral.